CAUGCACCGGGUGGGGUCCCUCGGCCUAGCCUGCAGCUCUCCGACAUCCCCCAAGGGGUCCCUGAUUGUGAGAAGGUGCAGGCCAGGCUGAGGGACCCCACCGGUGCAUG
Non-coding RNA from Myotis lucifugus (little brown bat), 110 nucleotides. The record is from Rfam. Lineage: Eukaryota; Metazoa; Chordata; Mammalia; Chiroptera; Vespertilionidae.